This 30-nucleotide non-coding RNA is filed under the name Mus musculus (house mouse). Lineage: Eukaryota; Metazoa; Chordata; Mammalia; Rodentia; Muridae. The record is from RNAcentral.
UGCAACUGGCUACUUUCCGAUGUUAAUCUU